This 466-nucleotide ribosomal RNA is filed under the name Vreelandella stevensii. Its description in RNAcentral is "partial 16S ribosomal RNA". It matches the Rfam family "Bacterial small subunit ribosomal RNA", at positions 338 to 795 of the family's 1533-position model. The record is from RNAcentral. Lineage: Bacteria; Pseudomonadati; Pseudomonadota; Gammaproteobacteria; Oceanospirillales; Halomonadaceae.
CCUACGGGUGGCUGCAGUGGGGAAUAUUGGACAAUGGGGGGAACCCUGAUCCAGCCAUGCCGCGUGUGUGAAGAAGGCCCUCGGGUUGUAAAGCACUUUCAGUGAGGAAGAACGCCUGGUGGUUAAUACCCAUCAGGAAAGACAUCACUCACAGAAGAAGCACCGGCUAACUCCGUGCCAGCAGCCGCGGUAAUACGGAGGGUGCGAGCGUUAAUCGGAAUUACUGGGCGUAAAGCGCGCGUAGGUGGCUUGAUAAGCCGGUUGUGAAAGCCCCGGGCUCAACCUGGGAACGGCAUCCGGAACUGUCAAGCUAGAGUGCAGGAGAGGAAGGGAGAAUUCCCGGUGUAGCGGUGAAAUGCGUAGAGAUCGGGAGGAAUACCAGUGGCGAAGGCGGCCUUCUGGACUGACACUGACACUGAGGUGCGAAAGCGUGGGUAGCAAACAGGAUUAGAUACCCCUGGUAGUC